This 441-nucleotide ribosomal RNA is filed under the name uncultured bacterium. Its description in RNAcentral is "partial 16S ribosomal RNA". It matches the Rfam family "Bacterial small subunit ribosomal RNA", at positions 338 to 795 of the family's 1533-position model. The record is from RNAcentral.
CCUACGGGUGGCAGCAGUGGGGAAUAUUGCACAAUGGGGGAAACCCUGAUGCAGCAACACCGCGUGGGUGAAGGAGCGUUUCGGCGCGUAAAGCCCUGUCAGCGGGGAAGAAGAAAGACGGUACCCGACCAAGAAGCCCCGGCUAACUACGUGCCAGCAGCCGCGGUAAUACGUAGGGGGCAAGCGUUAUCCGGAUUUACUGGGGGUAAAGGGAGCGUAGACGGCAGCGCAAGUCUGGAGUGAAAUGCCGGGGCCCAACCCCGGAACUGCUUUGGAAACUGUGCAGCUGGAGUGCAGGAGAGGUAAGCGGAAUUCCUAGUGUAGCGGUGAAAUGCGUAGAUAUUAGGAGGAACACCAGUGGCGAAGGCGGCUUACUGGACUGUAACUGACGUUGAGGCUCGAAAGCGUGGGGAGCAAACAGGAUUAGAUACCCGGGUAGUC